UGGUCAGUUCGUAGGUGUGUCCGUAUUCUGUAAUUUGAUUGGUCUUAGUGGGGUCAUAGUUAUGGGUAUAUUCAGGGUGUUUGCCGCCUAAAUUCAGAGGAAAGAAAGAUAUUGAAGGGAACAGAACUAAUUUCCCUCGGUCACAAUAAGGAAACAAGAAUAUAUUGGCAUAGUGUAUCGUCGGAGAGAUUAUGAUCAGUUUAUAAGUGUUCUAGCCGACGUCCGGUUAAAAUACUGGUGCCUCCAUUCCAUAGAUGGGGGUGUUUUCUGAAUGACAGCACAACUGUCAUAAUGGAUUGGAAGUUGAAAUAAAGAAAAGAACCC
This is a long non-coding RNA of Pecten maximus, 324 nucleotides long. RefSeq lists it as uncharacterized. The record is from RefSeq and is a predicted model, not a curated record. Lineage: Eukaryota; Metazoa; Mollusca; Bivalvia; Pectinida; Pectinidae. The transcript has 3 exons.